This 464-nucleotide ribosomal RNA is filed under the name uncultured bacterium. Its description in RNAcentral is "partial 16S ribosomal RNA". It matches the Rfam family "Bacterial small subunit ribosomal RNA", at positions 339 to 795 of the family's 1533-position model. The record is from RNAcentral.
CUACGGGUGGCAGCAGUGGGGAAUAUUGCACAAUGGGCGCAAGCCUGAUGCAGCCAUGCCGCGUGUAUGAAGAAGGCCUUCGGGUUGUAAAGUACUUUCAGCGGGGAGGAAGGGAGUAAAGUUAAUACCUUUGCCCAUUGACGUUACCCGCAGAAGAAGCACCGGCUAACUCCGUGCCAGCAGCCGCGGUAAUACGGAGGGUGCAAGCGUUAAUCGGAAUUACUGGGCGUAAAGCGCACGCAGGCGGUUUGUUAAGUCAGAUGUGAAAUCCCCGGGCUCAACCUGGGAACGGCAUCUGAUACUGGCAAGCUUUAGUCUCGUAGAGGGGGGUAGAAUUCCAGGUGUAGCGGUGAAAUGCGUAGAGAUCUGGAGGAAUACCGGUGGCGAAGGCGGCCCCCUGGACGAAGACUGACGCUCAGGUGCGAAAGCGUGGGGAGCAAACAGGAUUAGAUACCCCAGUAGUC